UGCUGACGGAGAAAGAUGCGAGCCAUGC
RNAcentral lists this non-coding RNA (28 nucleotides) under Homo sapiens (human). The record is from RNAcentral. Lineage: Eukaryota; Metazoa; Chordata; Mammalia; Primates; Hominidae.